Molecule: ribosomal RNA, 497 nt
Filed under: uncultured bacterium
Lineage: Bacteria
Description: partial 16S ribosomal RNA
Rfam family: Bacterial small subunit ribosomal RNA
Source: RNAcentral
GACGAACGCUGGCGGCGUGCCUAAUACAUGCCAGUAGAACGCUGAAGCUUGGUGCUUGCACCGAGCGGAUGAGUUGCGAACGGGUGAGUAACGCGUAGGUAACCUGCCUGGUAGCGGGGGAUAACUAUUGGAAACGAUAGCUAAUACCGCAUAAGAGUAGAUGUUGCAUGACAUUUGCUUAAAAGGUGCAAUUGCAUCACUACCAGAUGGACCCGCGUUGUAUUAGCUAGUUGGUGAGGUAACGGCUCACCAAGGCAACGAUACAUAGCCGACCUGAGAGGGUGAUCGGCCACACUGGGACUGAGACACGGCCCAGACGCCUACGGGAGGCAGCAGUAGGGAAUCUUCGGCAAUGGACGGAAGUCUGACCGAGCAACGCCGCGUGAGUGAAGAAGGGUUUCGGAUCGUAAAGCUCUGUUGUAAGAGAAGAACGAGUGUGAGAGUGGAAAGUUCACACUGUGACGGUAUCUGACCAGAAAGGGACGGCUAACUACGUG